Molecule: non-coding RNA, 131 nt
Filed under: Candidatus Parcubacteria bacterium
Lineage: Bacteria; Candidatus Parcubacteria
Source: RNAcentral
AUAGAUAUGCUAUUCUUGCGCACAGUUACAGUCUUUUUGUUGACGAAUGAGGUGUAACUCCUCAGCUGACCCGCAACUGUGAAGUCUCCAUAUAGGAGAAUAAGCCAGGUCGCGCAAUGAAAGACUACUAA